GAACGCUAGCGACAGGCUUAACACAUGCAAGUCGAGGGCAGCACAAGGAGCAAUCUGAGGUGGCGACCGGCGUACGGGUGAGUAACACGUAUGCAACCUGCCUGUAAGCGGGGAAUAACCCGUUGAAAGACGGACUAAUACCGCAUAAUACUAAAUUACUGCAUGGUAAUUUAUUUAAACAUUUAUGGCUUACAGAUGGGCAUGCGCAUGAUUAGCUAGUUGGAGAGGUAACGGCUCCCCAAGGCAACGAUCAUUAGGGGUUCUGAGAGGAAGGUCCCCCACACUGGUACUGAGACACGGACCAGACUCCUACGGGAGGCAGCAGUGAGGAAUAUUGGUCAAUGGACGAGAGUCUGAACCAGCCAAGUCGCGUGCAGGAAGAAUGUCCUAUGGAUUGUAAACUGCUUUUGCAGGGGAAUAAAGUGCAUCACGUGUGAUGUUUUGUAUGUACUCUGCGAAUAAGGAUCGGCUAACUCCGUGCCAGCAGCAGC
This 491-nucleotide ribosomal RNA is filed under the name uncultured bacterium. RNAcentral describes it as "bacterial SSU rRNA". It matches the Rfam family "Bacterial small subunit ribosomal RNA", at positions 31 to 518 of the family's 1533-position model. The record is from RNAcentral.